GGAGGGAGCUAGCGUUGUUCGGAAUUACUGGGCGUAAAGCGCGCGUAGGCGGCUUUGUAAGUUAGAGGUGAAAGCCCGGGGCUCAACCCCGGAACUGCCUUUAAGACUGCAUCGCUUGAAUCCAGGAGAGGUGAGUGGAAUUCCGAGUGUAGAGGUGAAAUUCGUAGAUAUUCGGAAGAACACCAGUGGCGAAGGCGGCUCACUGGACUGGUAUUGACGCUGAGGUGCGAAAGCGUGGGGAGCAAACUGGAUUAGAUACCCUGGUAGUCCACGCCGUAAACGAUGAUAACUAGCUGUCGGGGGCCAUGGGCUUUCGGUGGCGCAGCUAACGCAUUAAGUUAUCCGCCUGGGGAGUACGGCCGCAAGGUUA
RNAcentral lists this ribosomal RNA (370 nucleotides) under uncultured bacterium. RNAcentral describes it as "bacterial SSU rRNA". It matches the Rfam family "Bacterial small subunit ribosomal RNA", at positions 527 to 896 of the family's 1533-position model. The record is from RNAcentral.